RNAcentral lists this long non-coding RNA (312 nucleotides) under Hordeum vulgare. RNAcentral describes it as "long non-coding RNA (HVUL_LNC019475)". The record is from RNAcentral. Lineage: Eukaryota; Viridiplantae; Streptophyta; Magnoliopsida; Poales; Poaceae.
CCUCUACUGCCAUCCUUCCCCUCUCUUCCCUAAAGGCGCAGCAGGGAGCAUCUUUUUCUUGAGCCGGCGGCAAGCUCCAUCCCAGAUCGGUGGCGCAUUACACCUUUGAAGCAUGUGUCCGGUUUUUCAAGACAUAUCUGGAGUCCUUGGGAGCGCCGUCGCCAGAUCCACUACGCCGAGCGCCCAGCUGGAGGUACGUGCAGACAACGGAUCGGUUUCAAUUGGGGCCUCUCGGUUGGGAAGGGGUCAGGGCAUGCAUCCCUUCGAGGGGCUCGAAUGGGUGUAAGACAGGUUCGUUCAUGUGCAAUCACC